Ochotona curzoniae (black-lipped pika) is the source of this 814-nucleotide non-coding RNA. The record is from the annotation of a RefSeq genome assembly. NCBI's taxonomy places the organism in Eukaryota, Metazoa, Chordata, Mammalia, Lagomorpha, Ochotonidae.
UUCAGGACAACAGCAGAUUCCUUAGCUGGAGGCAUUUGCCCUGGUAUUCUGGUUAAUUCUGUCCACUGCCUUCACUGCCCUCCCAUCUCCUUCCAGUCUGAAGCCCUGAGUGGCUGCAGAGACUUCAGGAGCCCUCUCUAGAGGGCAGAGUUUCAUUCUGUUUCCCAUGCCGGGCCAUAAAGGGAAGAUGAUCCUCUUUAUGGGAGUCAGCCUUCUGCUGUUCUACAAGGGCGUGCAGUGCAUCAGUGUGACUCAGAGUGUCCCAGAACUGACGGAGGCAAGUGGCAGGGAGGUAACACUGCCAUGUAACUAUGAAGUUGACUUCUCAAACCCAGAUUUGUACUGGUACCGAUGGAGGCCUGACCAUUCCUUUCAGUUUGUCCUCUACAGGGAUAAUGACAGAGCUCAAAAUGCAGCUUUUACUAAAGGUCGAUUUUCUGUAGCACAUAAUCAGGAUCAAAAAACCUUCCACUUGGUGAUCUCCCACGUGAGGCCUGAAGACACUGCUGUGUAUUUCUGUGCAGUAGCACAGUGGUGCAAAUGCUGAGAAAGUCUGUGCACAAACCACAGGGCUCAACUGAGCUGAGCUACUUACCACAGGGGGCCACCCAGGCCUGGAACGACCACCUGGAGACUUGACUUUCUCCGCAUGUCUGACUACGUGGACCUUGGCCACUUGAAUAAGUCAUUAUGAUCAUGUGAGAGCUGCUCUGUGUGCCUAGGGCCUGGGCCAUAUCUGCUGCUAAUGGGACUUGCUUAGCCAUGUUUGCUGUGACGAUGUUAAACUGGUACAGGUCAAUCUAAGAAGAGACCA